AUGGCACCAGCAAUACACAGUUUAUGUGCACAAAGCUCCUGGGAUGCACACGGGGGAUUAAAGCACAGGGAACCAGAUCCUAAACCACCAGAAGAAAAUGUUCAAUUCACGCCUUUCGUCUUUUCUAACAACUGCACUUCUGCGUACUUGAGCCACUCUCCGAAUAUCACUGGUUACAAGUAUUUGACACGAGGCGAUGCCAGGAAGCACUUUUGCUGGGUUUUGUUUUUCUGUGGAUGCAGAGCGCUGCCUAAAAAAAUCCCCAGCGAGAAAUACUUGACUGUCGUGGCCGCGCGGCCUGGAUUUUUCUUCCAGCACCAUGAGAUUUCAGACGGGUGUGCUUCUUGGUGUGCUAUGCCUGGCCAGAGACGGAACAGAGGCCACAAGCAGAGUUGCCA
RNAcentral lists this long non-coding RNA (398 nucleotides) under Anas platyrhynchos (mallard). Its description in RNAcentral is "lncRNA (ENSAPLG00020006218.1)". The record is from RNAcentral. Lineage: Eukaryota; Metazoa; Chordata; Aves; Anseriformes; Anatidae.